GACAGAGGGUGCUAGCGUUGUUCGGAAUUACUGGGCGUAAAGGGCGCGUAGGCGGCUCGUUUAGUCGGGUGUGAAAUCCCAAGGCUCAACCUUGGAACUGCAUUCGAUACUGGCGGGCUAGAGACCGGAAGAGGUGGGUGGAAUACCCAGUGUAGAGGUGAAAUUCGUAGAUAUUGGGUGGAACACCGGUGGCGAAGGCGGCUCACUGGUCCGGUUCUGACGCUGAGGCGCGAAAGCGUGGGGAGCAAACAGG
RNAcentral lists this ribosomal RNA (253 nucleotides) under Geminicoccus sp. Its description in RNAcentral is "partial 16S ribosomal RNA". It matches the Rfam family "Bacterial small subunit ribosomal RNA", at positions 524 to 776 of the family's 1533-position model. The record is from RNAcentral. Lineage: Bacteria; Pseudomonadati; Pseudomonadota; Alphaproteobacteria; Geminicoccales; Geminicoccaceae. RNAcentral also lists the same sequence under 3 other names.